RNAcentral lists this ribosomal RNA (248 nucleotides) under uncultured Muribaculaceae bacterium. RNAcentral's name for it is "partial 16S ribosomal RNA". It matches the Rfam family "Bacterial small subunit ribosomal RNA", at positions 524 to 771 of the family's 1533-position model. Lineage: Bacteria; Pseudomonadati; Bacteroidota; Bacteroidia; Bacteroidales; Muribaculaceae. The record is from RNAcentral.
UACGGAGGGUGCAAGCGUUAAUCGGAAUUACUGGGCGUAAAGCGCACGCAGGCGGUUUGUUAAGUCAGAUGUGAAAUCCCCGGGCUCAACCUGGGAACUGCAUCUGAUACUGGCAAGCUUGAGUCUCGUAGAGGGGGGUAGAAUUCCAGGUGUAGCGGUGAAAUGCGUAGAGAUCUGGAGGAAUACCGGUGGCGAAGGCGGCCCCCUGGACGAAGACUGACGCUCAGGUGCGAAAGCGUGGGGAGCAA